UUUCCUAAAGGAAGGACAGGUUCUACCACCGCAGCUUUCCUUCUUAAGAGGGAAAGAUCAAGGCUUACAUGAGAGCUACAAGCUACAACUUUAAAUGAGAAUUAACUCUUACAGCAGUUGCUGUGCUGCCUUCUUGUCUAUGGUCCUGAGAUAGGUGCAAGACGUGCCAAACUAGAAAAUACAGUUCUUCUACACAUAGGUCCUGUCCACAUUUCUUGCUUUCCAACUUGCAGUCCUGUUUUCACACAGAAAGCAGUCAGUCACCAAAUGAUGGUAUUUUUUUUUUUUAGGAUUGGGUAAUAGAGGAGAUUUCUAGAAUUGGAAUUGCAGAAUUGAGUACCACACACUGUGAUGUAGCUUCUGCCACAAAAACACGGAAUCCAUCUAUUUGCACAUAGCCUUCUGAUGGCCAUAUUGACGUGAGUGAGACAAGGUUCUGCCCUCUAAGCAGCAGCCUAACACUUACCAGUGCUACAGCUUAGUUCCCUCCUGAGGGCUGCCGUUAACACUUUGGACAGCGAGUCAAAACAACCCUCUCUGCUGGAAGGGAAGUUUGAAUCCUAAAGAGGCUGCUGGGAAGUUUGGUUCAGCCACCAGUAUCAGGACCAUCUAAACAAGACAGAUGUAGGCACUACUGAGGCAGCAGCUGAAGCCUGAACACUGGAAGGCACUCAGGAGUGGGGGUGGAAGGGAAAAGAGGGAGAAGAGAAGAGGAAGCCAUUUGGCUAUAAAAAGGAUCUUUCUUUCCUGUUGAAAUGCAACGGUAAAGAGUGUCAAAAUGGCUUAAGGGUGGGGAGGUCAAACAUGUUUUGAGAUGUUAAAAAACUCUUUAAGCUCUGUCAGAAAAGACUGAAAAAAAUCUUAAGGUAGGUUUUUGUUCUUCUCAGAA
Phasianus colchicus (ring-necked pheasant) is the source of this 889-nucleotide long non-coding RNA. RefSeq lists it as uncharacterized. Lineage: Eukaryota; Metazoa; Chordata; Aves; Galliformes; Phasianidae. The record is from RefSeq and is a predicted model, not a curated record.